This is a non-coding RNA of Acanthosepion pharaonis, 95 nucleotides long. The record is from the annotation of a GenBank genome assembly. NCBI's taxonomy places the organism in Eukaryota, Metazoa, Mollusca, Cephalopoda, Sepiida, Sepiidae.
UUACGACCAUAUAGCAUUGAAACACCAGUUACCGUACGAUCAUCAAAGUUAAGCAACUUUGAGCUUGGUCAGUACAUAGAUGGGUGACCACUUGG